GACGAACGCUGGCGGCGUGCCUAACACAUGCAAGUCAACGAGAAAGGGGUAGCAAUACCCUGAGUAAAGUGGCGCACGGGUGAGUAACGCGUGGGUAACCCACCCUCGAAUCUGGGAUAACUCCGCGAAAGCGGUGCUAAUACCGGAUAAGACCACAUUCCGUUCGCGGAAAGAGGUAAAAGCUGACCUCUCCAUGGAAGUUAGCGUUUGAGGACGGGCCCGCGUCCUAUCAGCUUGUUGGUGGGGUAAUGGCCUACCAAGGCACCGACGGUAGCUGGUCUGAGAGGAUGAUCAGCCACACUGGAACUGGAACACGGUCCAGACUCCUACGGGAGGCAGCAGUGAGGAAUUUUGCGCAAUGGGGGAAACCCUGACGCAGCAACGCCGCGUGGGUGAAGAAGGCUUUCGGGUCGUAAAGCCCUGUCAGGUGGGAAGAAACUCUUCAGCACUAAUAAUGCUGAAGUCUGACGGUACCACCAGAGGAAGCACCGGCCAACUCCGUG
RNAcentral lists this ribosomal RNA (503 nucleotides) under uncultured bacterium. RNAcentral describes it as "bacterial SSU rRNA". It matches the Rfam family "Bacterial small subunit ribosomal RNA", at positions 28 to 507 of the family's 1533-position model. The record is from RNAcentral.